UACGGGGGGGGUAAGCGUUGUUCGGAAUUACUGGGCGUAAAGGGCUCGUAGGCGGCCAACUAAGUCAGACGUGAAAUCCCUCAGCUUAACUGGGGAACUGCGUCUGAUACUGGAUGGCUUGGAUUCGGGAGAGGAAUGCGGAAUUCCAGGUGUAGCGGUGAAAUGCGUAAAUAUCUGGAGGAACACCGGUGGCGAAGGCGGCAUUCUGGACCGAUAUUGACGCUGAGAAGCGAAAGCCAGGGGAGCAAACGGG
This 253-nucleotide ribosomal RNA is filed under the name uncultured bacterium. RNAcentral's name for it is "partial 16S ribosomal RNA". It matches the Rfam family "Bacterial small subunit ribosomal RNA", at positions 524 to 776 of the family's 1533-position model. The record is from RNAcentral.